RNAcentral lists this ribosomal RNA (239 nucleotides) under uncultured Syntrophus sp. Its description in RNAcentral is "partial 16S ribosomal RNA". It matches the Rfam family "Bacterial small subunit ribosomal RNA", at positions 1147 to 1382 of the family's 1533-position model. The record is from RNAcentral. Lineage: Bacteria; Pseudomonadati; Thermodesulfobacteriota; Syntrophia; Syntrophales; Syntrophaceae.
GACUGCCGGUGGUCAAACCGGAGGGAAGGUGGGGAGUGACGUCAAGUCCUCAUGGCCUUUAUGCCCAGGGCUACACACGUGCUACAAUGGGUGGUACAAAGAGCAGCGAACUCGCGAGAGUAAGCGAAUCUCAAAAAGCCAUCCUCAGUUCGGAUUGGAGUCUGCAACUCGACUCCAUGAAGUUGGAAUCGCUAGUAAUCGCGGAUCAGCAUGCCGCGGUGAAUACGUUCCCGGGCCUU